Triticum dicoccoides is the source of this 1259-nucleotide long non-coding RNA. RefSeq lists it as uncharacterized. NCBI's taxonomy places the organism in Eukaryota, Viridiplantae, Streptophyta, Magnoliopsida, Poales, Poaceae. The transcript has 2 exons. The record is from RefSeq and is a predicted model, not a curated record.
UUAUGUAAUUGGAUAUUCGAUUGAUGACUUGGAGGGUAUUAUCCCUACCACUUGCAUUGUCUCUUUGGUUGAGUGCCUUUUCAGGUUUUUGCUUGUGCACGAAUCAAUACAUGUUGACCAGGUUCGAGGUGACAUUCCUUGGGACCCUGGUGGACUCAGAGCAUGGGGAUGAGGAGAAGCAAGGGGGCACACACGAAGAAGAGUGAAGCUGGAGCAUCCAUGAGGAAGCAAAAGGAGAAGAGCUGCAGCUUAGAGAGUGAUCAAGCGAGUGCUACAUCAUCAAAGCCCGAAAAGUGCGAAAAGGCACUAUAAACUUCAAGAUCCGGACUAGUGGCUAAGAGAAUGAAGAGGAGGAGGAAGAAUGGACUUGUGCGAGAAGAAAAGAAGUUACCAGGGGCAAGCUAAAGAAGUAGGAGGAUCUUCUUGUGAAGAAAGAAGAGAAGUAAGAUGGCCAAAUCACAAAGUGCAGAUGAGAGGAGGGGAACAAAAUCCCUAGGCGCUGGAGGGAUCCAAUGGGGCCUGGCACAUCUCCCCUCUCGUCUCCUUCUCCACCUUCGGCCGCCGCCACAGCCAGGCCGGCGUGGGGCGCGCCACCGCUCCACCGCGCCCUCCGUCCACCAGCACCUCCAUAUACCACCAUCCAUCCAAUCCAUCACCCCCUCGCGCCGCUGCACCAUCCAUCAGCGCCACCCCUUCACCACCAUCGCUCGCGCGCCCUACCAGACCAAGGGUCUGGUGCCCCAGGCGACCUUGCCUUCUGCCGCUGCCUUCUUCCUCCCCUGCCUCGCUGCUUCCCUUCUUCUUCCCCUCGCUGCUCCUCCACCUCUCUCCUCCUCCUUCAAUCCCUUUGUUGCUGCUCUUCUUCUACCGCGCCCCCUUGCUGAUCUCUCACGCUGCUACUCCUCCCCUCAUCAUGUUGUUGUUUCCUUCUUCUCCUGUCGCUGCUCUCUUCUUCCUUUUCCUCUAGUUGAUGCUCCUAAUCUUCUCUGAACCCCAGCCUGCUGCUCUUUCUUCUCCCUACCUCGCUGCUGCUCUGCCCUCUGCUGCUGUACCUCUCCUUCUCCAACUCGCCCCCUGCUGAUCUUCUCCAUCACCUACAUCAUAUACAGCUGCAAGCCUGAAGAUUGACUGGGAAUUAAUCUUUGAAUCUCUCCCUUCUCUUGCUACUGUACUCUGAAUUUUCUAUAAUAGGAGUGGUGUAGGACUUGUAAGGUUCAGAUUUUGAUAAGUGUUUGCAACCAAUUAGUUUGUUCAGUUCA